UUAGAGAGAAACUCACCACUGAGGCCACUUGCUGGGCUCCAUCCUCACUACCUCCUGAAAGUCUGAGAUAAGAGCCCUUGCAGGACACCUCCUGAUACAGGGGUGUGAGGUAUCAGUGAGGUGGAGCCCUGUCUAGGGAUAAAGCUUGGGGCACAAGAAGCGAGGUACCUCCCCUGGCUAAUGCUCACCUCCUUUCUAGGGCUUUGAGACAAAUAAAUGGCUUGCACCUGAGUUCGAUGGGAUAAGUCCUAGCCCUUAUGUGCACUAUUCACAGGUAAUUCAAACUAUUCUCCCACUGA
This 299-nucleotide RNase P RNA is filed under the name Alligator mississippiensis (American alligator). Its description in RNAcentral is "Nuclear RNase P". It matches the Rfam family "Nuclear RNase P". From Rfam's summary of the family: Ribonuclease P (RNase P) is a ubiquitous endoribonuclease, found in archaea, bacteria and eukarya as well as chloroplasts and mitochondria. Lineage: Eukaryota; Metazoa; Chordata; Crocodylia; Alligatoridae. The record is from Rfam by way of RNAcentral.